This 697-nucleotide long non-coding RNA is filed under the name Panicum hallii. Its description in RNAcentral is "long non-coding RNA (PHAL_LNC000942)". Lineage: Eukaryota; Viridiplantae; Streptophyta; Magnoliopsida; Poales; Poaceae. The record is from RNAcentral.
GCAUCGACCAAACCCAUUUCCAUCUGAUGCGUGCACGCACACGAAUCCGAUCGAGGGGAGACUAGAUCCGGACGUUCAUACAAGAAGAGCAACGACGGCAGAGGCGAUGAUUCGGUGCAGUGAAAGUGAACACACACUCGCAGAGAUCCAAGGAGGUAAGUGCGUGCGGCCCCAUCGAUUUGAUACAGAAUUAUUGAACACAAGUUACACAGCCAGGCAGUGUGUCCACUUCGUACACCACCGUCGUCCUCCACCUCCCGUCCACCCCACACGAUCCGCAGGCUCGAUUAGCAACCGGCAGCGAGCUAGCUAGCCUAGCAGCGAUCCGGGGUCGGCGGCAGCCAAACAUGAGCGGCAACGACUAACAAACCAUCAUGGGGGCUCGCUCCGACGCACCGGCGCACGCGCUGUGCGUCAGUCGGCACCGUAGGAGCCGGCAGCGGCGGAGCCGCCGCCGUUGCCGUCGUCGCUGCUGCCGCCGCCGCUGCCGUCGCCGCCGCCGCCGCCGCCGCCGCCGCCGCCGCCGUCGAUCCAGUCCUUGAUGAUCUGCUUCUUGACCGCUCCCCUCCUGGGGUACGGGUUCCCGUGGGGCUUCGUCUUCUUCUUGCUGUCGCCGUCCUGCCCGUCCAUGGCGAGCUGAGACCUGAUGAGAGUGGUUUCGCGUGGAGUGACGGCGCGAGUGAUAUGUGGAGCGAGG